UAUAAGUUACUUGUAUUUAACCUCCAUGCUUUGUUUCUAGUUGUUUCAAAUGAAGACUUUUGCAAACUCGUUAAGUCUAAGAAAAUGUUAUAGUGAAAAGUGUUGAAAUUCGUAUUUGUUUUUUUUCAUGAACUUCAUGUUAAUUUCACAGAGUGCAAUCAAAUUAUAAGAACACUUAAACAAUAAGGCAAGUACAUUGAUUUGUACGAUUAAUGACAAGAUUUGCAAUCAAUAUGAAAUAUGGUCAAAUGCUGAAUUUAAAACAUCUAUAAACAAACUAAUGUACUUAUUUCCCAAUUUACACUUUAAAGUAUCGGUAUUUAGCAGUAAUUAUUAAUCGGAAUAAAUAUUAUGACUCAUCAUGUAAGGAUCAAAAUACGUUGACAGAUGCUGUAACUCAUAUGUAUGUAGUCAUUGAAUAAAAAUAAUCCAACAUGAUAUUUCGGAAUAUGCAUUGCAUAUAUGAGGCAUAC
This 473-nucleotide long non-coding RNA is filed under the name Mytilus galloprovincialis (Mediterranean mussel). Lineage: Eukaryota; Metazoa; Mollusca; Bivalvia; Mytilida; Mytilidae. The record is from RNAcentral.